AGACAGGGUCUCCUCCGUACCUCAUCCUUCUCCAGAGGAGGCACACCAAUCUUUCUAGAAGUCAGGGCCACCUGGGCAGGUCCCAUGCAUGGAACCUUCCACUUCCUGCAGAACGAAGUCCUUUCAUUAACUCAUUUGUCCUUUAAGGCUGGGUUAUUGGCACUGUCCAGAUGAUGCCUGCAGCACAGUGUGGCUGAGACAAACUGGCCAAUUAACAGACAGAGAUGAGCAGGGCA
RNAcentral lists this long non-coding RNA (236 nucleotides) under Homo sapiens (human). Its description in RNAcentral is "HSALNT0305510". Lineage: Eukaryota; Metazoa; Chordata; Mammalia; Primates; Hominidae. The record is from RNAcentral.